UGAAUACGAGAUGCUACGGCGUCGAAGCAGUGUAUGUCAGACUUCCAAGAAAAGCUCGCAAUGUCAUAAAUAAAGAAUGCCUGUACCAUAACCGACACAGGUGGGUAGGUAGAGUAUACUAAGGGGCGCGAGAUAACUCUCUCUAAGGAACUCGGCAAAAUAACUCCGUAACUUCGGGAGAAGGAGUGCCUUCUAUUAGAAGGUCGCAAUAACAAGAUCCAAGCAACUGUUUAUCAAAAACACAGGUCUCCGCUAAGUCGUAAGACGAUGUAUGGGGGCUGACGCCUGCCCAGUGCCAGAAGGUUAAAGAAGUUGGUUAGCUUUGGCGAAGCUGAUGACUGAAGCCCUGGUGAACGGCGGCCGUAACGAUAACGGUCCUAAGGUAGCGAAAUUCCUUGUCGGGUAAGUUCCGACCCGCACGAAAGGCGUAAUGAUUUGGAUACUGUCUCGGAGAGGGACUCGGUGAAAUAGACUUGUCUGUGAAGAUGCGGACUACCUGCACCAGGACAGAAAGACCCUAUGAAGCUUUACUGUAACUUGAAAUUGAAAUUGGACUUUAUUUGCGCAGCAUAGGUGGAAGGCGUUGAGAUUACUCUUGCGGGAGUACUGGAGCCAUCAGUGAGAUACCACUCCUAUAAUGUUAGAUUUCUAACUUUGGAUCAUGAUCUGGUCAAAGAACAGUUUCAGGCGGGCAGUUUGACUGGGGCGGUCGCCUCCCAAAUGGUAACGGAGGCGUACAAAGGUUUCCUCUGAACGGGUAGAAAUCGUAUCUAGAGUGUAAAGGCAUAAGGAAGCUUGACUGUGAGACCUACAAGUCGAGCAGGGACGAAAGUCGGUCUUAGUGAUCUGACGGUGCUGAGUGGAAAGGCCGUCACUCAACGGAUAAAAGUUACUCUAGGAUAACAGGCUGAUCUCCCCCAAGAGUUCACAUCGACGGGGAGGUUUGGCACCUCGAUGUCGGCUCAUCGCAUCCUGGGGCGGUAGUACGUCCCAAGGGUUGGGCUGUUCGCCCAUGAAAGCGGUACCCGAGCUGGGUUCAGAACGUCGUGAGACAGUUCGGUCCAUAUCCGGUGUAGGCGUUAGAAUAUUGAGAGGAGCCUUCUUUAGUACGAGAGGACCGAGAAGGACAUACCUCUGGUGUACCAGUUAUCGUGCCAACGGUAAACGCUGGGUAGCUAUGUAUGGAGAGGAUAACCGCUGAAAGCAUCUAAGUGGGAAGCCCACCUCAAGAUGAGUA
This 1237-nucleotide ribosomal RNA is filed under the name metagenome. RNAcentral's name for it is "bacterial LSU rRNA". It matches the Rfam family "Bacterial large subunit ribosomal RNA", at positions 1564 to 2810 of the family's 2925-position model. The record is from RNAcentral.